UAAUCUGACAGAACAUGCAUUGUUAUACAACAGCUGAUAUUGUUGCAAUAGCCUAGUACUCUUAAUGAUCUUCCGGACCAUCCAACUAGCUUGUUUGGGGAUAUUGAUAUAUUCCAGUUAUUGUUGUUUGAUAUACACUGUGUGGAUCCAUUUUACCCAUAAUAAGUCUUUCUUGUGAGCCAAGUCCCAGGCCAGUGUUGCUACAGCAGAUUUAUUCCACAGCAGAAGAUUGAUUAAGUUCAGACCUCCAGCAGACCUUG
This 260-nucleotide long non-coding RNA is filed under the name Nicotiana benthamiana. RNAcentral's name for it is "long non-coding RNA (NBEN_LNC001401)". The record is from RNAcentral. Lineage: Eukaryota; Viridiplantae; Streptophyta; Magnoliopsida; Solanales; Solanaceae.